GGGAUUUGGAUCCUGCCAGCUCGUCCCUGCAACCCCCUACUCCGGUCCCCUCAAACCUGUCCGUGGCUGGCAGCCCUGUGAUACCUCGCCACAUUCUGCAACAGAAUCCGAGAUAGAGGUAGAAGUGGGGGAGUACGUCGUGGCUGUCAGGGCAGCUUUCUGUAAAAUGCUGCCUGGAGGAGCAUGUGAUUCCAGACCCUCCUCUCUGCAACGAAAGUGAGGUUGACACCUGCAGGCCUGGGGCCUCCUGGCCCACUGAGCAGAACACACAGAAGCUGGGCCCACCCCUGCCCUCCCCACAAAGGGUCACGGGAGCCACCGCCUGACUUUGAAGCCCACUGACUUGCGGCUGACAAGAGAAAAGAAUGUGCCCCUGUGAUCAUGUGAAAGCAUCAGCCAGGGGUCCAAGAACUUCCCUCUGGAGCCUCACACUCCCAGCGUGGCACCCAGCAGGGAACAGAUUCUCUCCAAACCUUUGUGAAUGAAUGAAGGAUGACGUCACUAGAAUCCAUCCCUGUUUUAUUUUUUAUUUUUAUUUUUUGAGACUGUAUCCCAAAAAUAAUAAAAUAAAAUAAAAUAAAAUAAAAUAAAAUAAAAUAAAAUAAAAUAAAAUAAAAUAAAGCACACUCAGUUAAAUAUGAAUGUCAGAUAAGUACCAAAUAACUUGUGAGUAUAAAUGUAUCCCAAAUAUGGAAUGGAAUACACAUAGUAAACAUUUUUUUUUAUUAUCUCAAAUUCAAAUGACACUCAGCAUCUUGAAUUUAAUCUGACAACUCCACCUCCUCCUACCCUCUUUGCCCCUUGUCAGGCAAGCUCAAUAGCUAGGCCGAGAGCUGCUGAGGGCGGGGACCUUGUCUGUCUAGGCCACUGCUGUAUGCGUGCCUGGCCCUCAGCAGGGAACCUGACAUGAAGCACACGCUGGAUAAAUAAAUACCUGUUGCUGGAGCGAGUGAUGGGUUCCCAGCCCUCACUGGGGAAUCGAGGGGACUCCACCUCAGCCCAGCCAGAUGGAAUCGUCGGGAACAGAGUGCACCUUAAUUUCUGCGAAGACCAAUGCAAAUUAGAAGAAGACUGAGAUGCAGGCUGUUUGAUCCAAGAGAUGCUUUUUAAUUAUUGUAAAACAGCUGUGACUUACUGAGCACCAACUGUGUACCCGGCCUCACACUGUUCUCAUACACAACAGCUCCACGGGGAAGGCAUUCUCACCGAGAUUCAGAGAGGGGCAGACCUGGCCUCGGGUCGCACAGCUGGGAACCGGACACCGGGCUCUCUCCAGUCAGCUCGGGUGCUGCUGGCCCCAGCACCUCCCCCAUGGCGUGGACCAGGGCCUCCGAGGCUGCUUUAAAGAAGGUUCUUUGAGAACGGCGCAUGUACCGUGUGGACACUCGUGUGCGCCCCUGAAGUUUUUGAGCCAGCCACCCUGUCAUCAAUCUUGGUUAUGCAGUUCAUUUAUUCAGUAGACCCCAGGUUCCCAUCCACGUUUGGUGCACAGGAGAACUCCCCUGCUCAGGAAUUCUGAAUUAAGGAGGCUUUGAAUGAACGAGGCUCUACUGAAUUUAAAUUCCAGAUGGGGCAGGGAGGGGCUGGGUACUGGUGAGCGGCACAGACUGGGCAGGUAGAUGCGGCAGGAGUUCGAAUCCAGCCCCUACCGUUUCUCAGAUCUGUGACUUUGGAAAAAUCACUUUCUCUGGCCCUCAAUUUUGCCAUCUCUAAAGAGGGGGCUGAAUGAAUUCAGACACCCCAAGGCCCCACAAAGUGCUAACGACUGAGAUACGCUGGGGUUGGAGGUGAUUGGGAACAGGUUACGGUCCUGCUUUCCCUGGGGGAACCUGGCCCUGUGUCCGAGGUGCCCGUGGCAUCUCUGCUGGUUGCCCUGGUUUCUGACUCACCCCAGGGAGCUGCCGGGCAGGGGAAACUACCCUCCUGGCCUCCUGAGACCUGCCUUCCAGGCUGCAGGCCUGCUGUCGGGGCUGCUCUGUGUGUGUGUGUGUGUGUGUGUGUGUGUGUGUGUGUGUGUGUGUGUGUGAUGAGGCAUGGGCUGCGCUCUGCACAGAGGUGGGGGUGAGGGUGGGCUCACAUAUUUUAAGUUCAUCACCUGGCUGGGGAAGUGGCCACCCUUGCUCCAGAAAGGUGGCUCUAUGUUCCCAAAUUGUCAUCACUGUCCCUCACAUGUGCUGGAAUAACAUUCAAACUCCCCCAGGCUCCCAAGGCCCCAUAAACUGGCUCCUGCCCGAGACGCUCGCUUCUGCCUUACCCCAGCCCUGUGGUCACCCGCAAAUACUCCAAGCCCUUUCCCUCCUUACAGGCUUUGGCCUGGGCUGCGCUGGCCAACAGAACUCCCUCUCCCCUCCGCUGCAUCCCUCUCUUGCUCUGCCUUCUCCAGGAGGCCUUUGUGAACGUUCUGUGGACAUGGGCUCUCCAUGAGUCUCUCAGCUCGUGUUUGCUUCCCCCUGAGCCAGGGUAGAGGCUCCUGCACGCUGAGUCCUUAUCUGUGUUGCGCCGACCCCAGUGCCUAGGCAGGGCCUGGGCCCCAGGGCCCCUCUGGAUCUGUUGAAAGAAGAGGUCAGAGGGCUGUGUCAUCUAAACCCCGUUUGCAUUGAGAGAGUCAUUCUUACUGCCACAUAUCCAUGCAUUCAUUUGUUCAUUCAACAGAAAGCACCAGGCCCUGGGCGAUUGAGGGUUGAAAGAGACACUGGCCCCUGCCCUUGUGAAUCCCUUUCCAGCCAGGUGUGUCAGGGGCGCUGGGCGGGUGAGGCCGGCACUGAGCAGGUGAGACCCAAAAACAAACACCACCUGGCGAUUUCUCUGUUUUCUCCCACACAGUCCCCCUUUUUGGAUGUUAAGAGAUUAAUAUAUGCAAAUACCCUUUUCCUAUGGUGGUUUUAGCCUUGCACUCUGUGGAUUAAGUUACUUGAUUUAAAUACAUCUUCCCCCCACCAACAUAUACAUGUAUAAAUCCUAAACACUAAAUAAAAUCCCCUCAUUUCCCGUGUGCUGCGGAGCUUCUAAUCCCAAGUCCUGUGGGCAUUUCAGCAGUUAAGAUGGUUCAUGGGGGUUGUGGAGAUUUUAUUUGGAAUAUCAAAUACCUGUCCCUUAAUGGAGUUCGCUAAUACCAGCCAGAGGGGGCCAAGGGAGAAGCUGGAGCUGGAGAGGUGGUGGGAGGAGCUUCUGGAAGGAAAGAGGCCUGUUACCAAGUGAGGAAGGGUUUGGACCGGAUGAGGGUGGUUGCAUAGCCAGACUGGAGGGGACACCUGGGUUUGGACGCAUCAGAGGGCUGGGCAGGACUGGGGGUUCAUCAGAAACAAUCAAGGAGACUGGGUGUGGUGGCUCACACCUGUAAUCCCAGCCCUUUGGGAGGCUGGAGCAGGAGGAUCACUUCAGCCCUGGAGUUUGAGACCAGCCUGGGCUGCACAGUGAAAGCCUGUUUCUAGGAAAAGUAAAAAUGCAAAAAUGAGCUGGGCAUGGUGGUGUGCACCUGUCGUCCCAGCUACUCGGGAGGCUGAGGUACGAGGAUUGCCUGAGCCUGGUAGGUAGAGGCUGCAGUGAGCUGUGAUUGCACCACUCCACUCCGGCCUGGGAGACAGCACGAGACUCUGUCUAAAAAAAAAGAAAGAAAGAAAGAGGAG
RNAcentral lists this long non-coding RNA (3626 nucleotides) under Homo sapiens (human). Lineage: Eukaryota; Metazoa; Chordata; Mammalia; Primates; Hominidae. The record is from RNAcentral.